CUCUGGUGUUCCCCUGGUCCCGUGGGGCCACGUAAAGUUCACGUGGAGGACCAAACUCUGUGACUCACCCCCCCCACAAAAAUCAUGCUGAAGUUUCCUGAAGACAGUGGAAUGAAUCUAGUGUAGAACGGAUCUGAGGGAGAAUGGCAGCCCCCGAAAGGCUGGCCUGGGUGGCUCUGAGGUGCUGUGGUUCAUGUGGACACAGCCCUGCUGCAGAUGACUGCAGGCAGCCCAGAGGUGUGAAAAAGCUGACAAGCCUGAAAGCUUUUCUCUUGCAUUGCUUAUGUUGGUUCAAAUCAGAAAGAAGAUUUAAUUGACUCCAGUGGGAGUUUUGCUUGAGUAAGGACUUAGGAGCUGAAGUGAGAGAUGAAAAAUAAAAUGUACCCUUGCUCACA
Molecule: non-coding RNA, 395 nt
Organism: Lonchura striata (white-rumped munia)
Lineage: Eukaryota; Metazoa; Chordata; Aves; Passeriformes; Estrildidae
Source: RefSeq, a predicted model, not a curated record